This is a long non-coding RNA of Trichomycterus rosablanca, 325 nucleotides long. RefSeq lists it as uncharacterized. The transcript is spliced from 3 exons. The record is from RefSeq and is a predicted model, not a curated record. NCBI's taxonomy places the organism in Eukaryota, Metazoa, Chordata, Actinopteri, Siluriformes, Trichomycteridae.
GAACAGAUCCAGAAAAUUUUAGCUGAGGUUCAGAUCAUCUAAAUUCCUCAGCAUCGUGUACCAUCAAUGUCCACAAUGUCAGAUCAGAAAGAAAGCCUCAUCAAGUCUAGCCUACUGCCAAAAGCAACCAGAUUUGGGCUUGAGCACCUUGACACCUGGCAGGAAACACAAAACAGCCCUGAAACUUCAUUGAGCCACCACAGCAAUCUAUAGUCAACAACCUUGUCUGUCACCUGUUUUGUGCUGAAAGUAUAUUUACCUUCUCCGUGGUGGUAAAUGAGACGAGAAGAAACAAAGUCCCCACACACAACCAAUAAAAUGUCUU